UACGUAGGUGGCGAGCGUUGUCCGGAAUUACUGGGUGUAAAGGGCGUGCAGGCGGGGAUGUAAGUCAGAUGUGAAAUACCACGGCUUAACUGUGGGGCUGCAUCUGAAACUAUGUUUCUUGAGUGCCGGAGAGGAAAGCGGAAUUCCCAGUGUAGCGGUGAAAUGCGUAGAUAUUGGGAGGAACACCAGUGGCGAAGGCGGCUUUCUGGACGGUAACUGACGCUGAGGCGCGAAAGCGUGGGGAGCAAACAGG
Molecule: ribosomal RNA, 253 nt
Filed under: uncultured bacterium
Lineage: Bacteria
Description: partial 16S ribosomal RNA
Rfam family: Bacterial small subunit ribosomal RNA
Source: RNAcentral